AUUAUUUUGGCAGAAUAGUGUAAUAAAUUUAGAAUUUAUAAAUAUAUAAUAUUAAAUUAUAUAAAUAAUA
This 70-nucleotide transfer RNA is filed under the name Aulacus sinensis. Its description in RNAcentral is "tRNA-Leu". The record is from RNAcentral. Lineage: Eukaryota; Metazoa; Arthropoda; Insecta; Hymenoptera; Aulacidae.